RNAcentral lists this ribosomal RNA (474 nucleotides) under uncultured organism. Its description in RNAcentral is "partial 16S ribosomal RNA". It matches the Rfam family "Bacterial small subunit ribosomal RNA", at positions 333 to 798 of the family's 1533-position model. The record is from RNAcentral.
ACACUCCUACGGGAGGCAGCAGUGGGGAAUUUUGGACAAUGGGCGAAAGCCUGAUCCAGCAAUGCCGCGUGAGUGAAGAAGGCCUUCGGGUUGUAAAGCUCUUUUGUCAGGGAAGAAACGGUGAAAGCUAAUAUCUUUUGCUAAUGACGGUACCUGAAGAAUAAGCACCGGCUAACUACGUGCCAGCAGCCGCGGUAAUACGUAGGGUGCAAGCGUUAAUCGGAAUUACUAGGCGUAAAGCGUGCGCAGGCGGUUUUGUAAGUCUGAUGUGAAAUCCCCGGGCUCAACCUGGGAAUUGCAUUGGAGACUGCAAGGCUAGAAUCUGGCAGAGGGGGGUAGAAUUCCACGUGUAGCAGUGAAAUGCGUAGAUAUGUGGAGGAACACCGAUGGCGAAGGCAGCCCCCUGGGUCAAGAUUGACGCUCAUGCACGAAAGCGUGGGGAGCAAACAGGAUUAGAAACCCCGGUAGUCCCAU